RNAcentral lists this small RNA (97 nucleotides) under Pedobacter terrae. Its description in RNAcentral is "Flavo-1 RNA". It matches the Rfam family "Flavo-1 RNA". Lineage: Bacteria; Pseudomonadati; Bacteroidota; Sphingobacteriia; Sphingobacteriales; Sphingobacteriaceae. The record is from RNAcentral.
UUUUAAACCCGACAGGAGCGGCACCCUUUUUUGCCAGAAUAUCAUCAAUGUUAAAAGAAUAAUCACAAAAAAGGUAAAGCAUAUGGCGGGACUGUUG